UACGUAGGGUGCAAGCGUUAUCCGGAAUUAUUGGGCGUAAAGAGCUCGUAGGCGGUUUGUCGCGUCUGCUGUGAAAACCCGAGGCUCAACCUCGGGCCUGCAGUGGGUACGGGCAGACUAGAGUGCGGUAGGGGAGAAUGGAAUUCCUGGUGUAGCGGUGGAAUGCGCGGAUAUCAGGAGGAACACCGAUGGCGAAGGCAGUUCUCUGGGCCGUAACUGACGCUGAGGAGCGAAAGCGUGGGGAGCGAACAGG
This 253-nucleotide ribosomal RNA is filed under the name uncultured bacterium. RNAcentral describes it as "partial 16S ribosomal RNA". It matches the Rfam family "Bacterial small subunit ribosomal RNA", at positions 524 to 776 of the family's 1533-position model. The record is from RNAcentral.